CCUACGGGUGGCAGCAGUGAGGAAUAUUGGUCAAUGGACGAGAGUCUGAACCAGCCAAGUAGCGUGAAGGAUGACUGCCCUAUGGGUUGUAAACUUCUUUUAUAUGGGAAUAAAACGUUCCACGUGUGGGAUUUUGUAUGUACCAUAUGAAUAAGGAUCGGCUAACUCCGUGCCAGCAUACGCGGUAAUACGGAGGAUCCGAGCGUUAUCCGGCUUUAUUGGGUUUACAGGGAGCGUAGGUGGAUUGUUAAGUCAGUUGUGAAAGUUUGCGGCUCAACCGUAAAAUUGCAGUUGAAACUGGCAGUCUUGAGUACAGUAGAGCUGGGCGGAAUUCGUGGUGUAGCGGUGAAAUGCUUAGAUAUCACGAAGAACUCCGAUUGCGAAGGCAGUUCACUGGACUGCAACUGACACUGAGGCUCGAAAGUGUGGGUAUCAAACAGGAUUAGAUACCCGAGUAGUC
RNAcentral lists this ribosomal RNA (460 nucleotides) under uncultured bacterium. Its description in RNAcentral is "partial 16S ribosomal RNA". It matches the Rfam family "Bacterial small subunit ribosomal RNA", at positions 338 to 795 of the family's 1533-position model. The record is from RNAcentral.